GACGAACGCUGGCGGCGUGCCUAAUACAUGCAAGUUGAGCGAUGAAGAUUGGUGCUUGCACCAAUUUGAAGAGCAGCGAACGGGUGAGUAACGCGUGGGGAAUCUGCCUUUGAGCGGGGGACAACAUUUGGAAACGAAUGCUAAUACCGCAUAACAACUUUAAACAUAAGUUUUAAGUUUGAAAGAUGCAAUUGCAUCACUCAAAGAUGAUCCCGCGUUGUAUUAGCUAGUUGGUGAGGUAAAGGCUCACCAAGGCGAUGAUACAUAGCCGACCUGAGAGGGUGAUCGGCCACAUUGGGACUGAGACACGGCCCAAACUCCUACGGGAGGCAGCAGUAGGGAAUCUUCGGCAAUGGACGAAAGUCUAGCCGAGCAACGCCGCGUGAGUGAAGAAGGUUUUCGGAUCGUAAAACUCUGUUGGUAGAGAAGAACGUUGGUGAGAGUGGAAAGCUCAUCAAGUGACGGUAACUACCCAGAAAGGGACGGCUAACUACGUG
Molecule: ribosomal RNA, 497 nt
Filed under: uncultured bacterium
Lineage: Bacteria
Description: partial 16S ribosomal RNA
Rfam family: Bacterial small subunit ribosomal RNA
Source: RNAcentral